AGUAGCCGCGGUAAUUCCAGCUCCAAUAGCGUAUAUUAAAGUUGUUGCAGUUAAAAGCUCGUAGUUGAAUUUCAGGCCUGGCUGGACGGUCCGCCCUUCGGGUGAGUACUGUCUGUGGUCGGGUCCUACCUUCUGGCGAAGCGUCAUGGCCUUAACCGGCCGUGGCGGGGAACCAGGACUUUUACUGUGAAAAAUUAGAGUGUUCAAAGCAGGCAAUCGCUUGGAUACAUUAGCAUGGAAUAAUGGAAUAGGACAAUGGUUCUAUUUGUUGGUUUCUAGGACCGUUGUAAUGAUUAAUAGGGAUAGUUGGGGGCAUUAGUAUUCAAUUGUCAGAGGUGAAAUUCUUGGAUUUAUUGAAGACUAACUACUGCGAAAGCAUUUGCCAAGGAUGUUUUCAUUAAUCAAGAACGAAAGUUAGGGGAUCGAAGACGAUCAGAUACCGUCGUAGUCUUAACCAUAAACCUAUGCCGACUAGGAAUCGGGCGAUGUUGAAAAAUGACGCGCUCGGCACCUCAUGGGA
Molecule: ribosomal RNA, 520 nt
Filed under: uncultured Paraglomus
Lineage: Eukaryota; Fungi; Glomeromycota; Glomeromycetes; Paraglomerales; Paraglomeraceae
Description: SSU rRNA
Rfam family: Eukaryotic small subunit ribosomal RNA
Source: RNAcentral